RNAcentral lists this unclassified non-coding RNA (345 nucleotides) under soil metagenome. RNAcentral describes it as "partial contains 5.8S ribosomal RNA, internal transcribed spacer 2, and large subunit ribosomal RNA". The stretch from base 1 to 120 matches the Rfam family "5.8S ribosomal RNA", at positions 35 to 154 of the family's 154-position model. The record is from RNAcentral.
GAUGAAGAACGUAGCGAAAUGCGAUACGUAAUGUGAAUUGCAGAAUUCAGUGAAUCAUCGAGUCUUUGAACGCACAUUGCGCCCUCUGGUAUUCCGGAGGGCAUGCCUGUCCGAGCGUCAUUGCUGCCCUCAAGCACGGCUUGUGUGUUGGGCUCCGUCCCCCGAUCCCGGGGGACGGGCCCGAAAGGCAGCGGCGGCACCGCGCCCGGUCCUCGAGCGUAUGGGGCUUUGUCACCCGCUCUGUAGGCCCGGCCGGCGCUUGCCGAUCAACCAAAUUUUUAUCCAGGUUGACCUCGGAUCAGGUAGGGAUACCCGCUGAACUUAAGCAUAUCAAUAAGCGGAGGA